Molecule: ribosomal RNA, 392 nt
Filed under: uncultured bacterium
Lineage: Bacteria
Description: partial 16S ribosomal RNA
Rfam family: Bacterial small subunit ribosomal RNA
Source: RNAcentral
AUACGGAGGAUCCGAGCGUUAUCCGGAUUUAUUGGGUUUAAAGGGUGCGCAGGCGGCCAUUUAAGUCAACGGUUAAAUCGUGGGGCUCAACCCCAUUCUGCCGUUGAUACUGGGUGGCUUGAUUGCGGUCGAGGUUGGCGGAAUUCGUUGUGUAGCGGUGAAAUGCAUAGAUAUGACGAAGAACACCGAUUGCGUAGGCAGCUGACCAGACCGCAAAUGACGCUCAUGCACGAAAGUGCGGGGAUCGAACAGGAUUAGAUACCCUGGUAGUCCGCACAGUAAACGAUGAAUACUUGUUUUCGGCGAUAUAAUGUCGGAGGCAAAGCGAAAGCGAUAAGUAUUCCACCUGGGGAGUACGCCGGCAACGGUGAAACUCAAAUGAAUUGGCGGGG